Molecule: long non-coding RNA, 3499 nt
Organism: Ictalurus punctatus (channel catfish)
Lineage: Eukaryota; Metazoa; Chordata; Actinopteri; Siluriformes; Ictaluridae
Source: Ensembl
GUUAAUUUGCUAGCUGCAGGUUUUUUCUUUCAUUCAAGUACCAUCACUGCAAGUGGUCGACCAGAGCACUAUAUGUAACUGUAGCGGUGUAAUAAGCUAUCAGUGGAGCGUAUAACCUCGGAGAGACGUUAUAUUACCGUGGAAAGAGUAUAACAGAUAACAGCUAGCUGUUAAGACUUAGAUACUAGUGCACAUGUGGUUUUUGCUAAGAAGUUAGCGAACAGCCAACUGGAGGAGCAGAGACUGUGUUUGUCACGGAGAAAAGAGCUGUGGACUUCGCGGAUGACUGUCUCCAUUUUGUUUGAGGCUUCUACGCACUCCAGCUACAUUCAGGCCUGCAACGGGGAACUUGGUACUAGUAUUUUGUUUGUUUAUGGGGUAAUGUGGAUUUUUUCUUGGUUGAUCUGUGACGUUUAAAACUUAUUAAGGGAUUCUGAGAACUGUUUAGAAUUUAAAACUGUAGUUGAAUGUUUGAUGACUGAACGUUCUUGUUAAAUAUUGUGUCUCUAUUAGUAAAAAAGGUUAAAGAUUUAAGCAUUGGUUUGAUUACGAGUGAGUGGUUGGUAUUUCUGUUUAUAAAUAGAAAAGAACUCAGGGUAGCUCCUUAAGUAAAAGGUAGUACACCAAAGGGGUGUUACACAUAUAUACAUAUAUACUCACAUACAGAUCUCUUUUACAUAAAACACAUCCAUCCUAUACAAAACAAAAUCCCUCAUAAAAUUAAAUGAAAUUCUCUGUUAACACAUUUUCAACAGAAAGGACAGUCCAUAUGUAUAUUGUUAGGUGAAGAUGAACAGACUUGCAGUUAAAUACUCAUAAUCAAGAUCACUAAUAAUUAUAGAAUGUACAGUAAAAUAGAAUAAUGUAAGUAACACUAAAAAUAUUAAGUAUAAUGCUCUCAGGAUUAUGGAACUAAAACACAGGAGUAUCAGUGCUAAUAUGUUAAUGUGUAAAUGUAAGUCAGAGACAUAGACAUUGGCACUACCUCCACUACCAGGUUUUAAGUUUAAGGGGGCAAUUAGUUUUUCACAUGGUUGAUAGGUGGAGGAUAACUUUUUUGCAUCAGUAAAAAUAAAUAGAUAAAAACUGUAUUGUGUGUUGCCUUUGUUUUAUGUCGUAUUUUGUUUGAAGAUCUAAAACUAUAUAGUAUGACAUAUACACAAAAACAGAAGAAAUCAAGAUGGGGCAAAUACUUUUUCACAUCACUGGGUUUAACAGGUGUAAUUGGUGUAUAAAAAAUGUUAUGGGUGUAUAUAAUAUAGAGGUGUAUACAACAAAUGUAUAAAACAUGUAUAAGAUAAGAUAAGAUAAGAUAAGAUAAGAUGUACUUUUAUUGGUCCCCCAUAAGGGAAAUUCAGAUUGACACAGCAGCACAAGUAGGAUGAGUAACAUCAAAGAAAGAAAGAAAAUAAUUUCCAUAAAUACCUACACAAUAAAAAUAAUAGAAACAAUAAAAGAGAUCUGUGUGUAUGUACAUAUGCUAGAAGGUGUACCACAGGUCACACCCUUACUUUCUCACAAUGUAACAGAAUUAACACGGACUCUGACUCUGAAAGCUAUGCUAACAGAAGUCAUGCUAACAAAUAGAGAGAUAAGUGUACACAACUGCACAGAUUUCAGUUUUUCACCAUAUAAGGAAUACAUAAUAUUAGAAAAAUACUUCAAGAUUCCUUUUUUACUUCUCUGACACAAAACAGGGUUUUCAGAAGAACCUGUAGCAUUUUUAAACAGACUUGAAGAGAAGAGGUUCUUCUACAGAGAUUUAAGGACAUCACAGUUACUUACAUUCAGAGGAAACAGGUGUGUUACAGUGCCAUCUCUCCACUAUGUUAAUAACAGAUCUGUGUGUGUGUGUCUGUGUGUGUCUGUGUAUGUGUGUGUGUUAUACUUGUGAUUUAUGGCCUUCUGUAUGUAGGGCUUUUUUUCUUUCAUUUUGACUUACAAUUCAUCAGAAAAGUAAUAAAGCAGGAAGAAUGACACACAAUUUCAAAUCAUUCUCUUUUGAUUAACUAUGAGCAUGAAAAACAUCAGCACCUUAAUUAGCCAUGAUGUCUGCAACAUCUGCAAAACAACACACACACACACACACACACACACACACACACACACACACACAUUGUAAUACACACAAAAACAAACUGCUGUGAAAAUGAUCCUUAAUUACACUCAGCAUUAGCAGCGUCACAUUUGAACACUGCUGCGGCGUAAAACAAAGACAUUAAUGUUGAGAAAAAUAAACAUUUUAUUAAAAACAACAUGAACUGAAAUAAGUAAGUAAUAACACACUUUAGGUUGUGGUGUUAUAGGAAAAUAAUCAACACAGUGGUUGUGUGAUGAAGUGUUAUGUGAAGAGUUACUUUUACAAACUGCUGACACUGGAGACUCCUUCCAGAAUUUUAAAAUAAAUUUCUCCUUACAAAUAAUUUAACCACAUCAUUUAUUGUUUACACACAAUUCUAUUUUAAUCUGUUUAUGCGGCAUGUCUGCUGUACACGUCCCUGUGAACAAGCCGUUACUAUAGCAACCAUAACGCAUCAGAACGACUGCAUUAAUAAAACCCUGCGCUAUUGUCAGAGUCGCUGUUAUAGAAAACUCAUCAACGCCUUCAGAUCCAAGAGUUCUACUGCUUUGUGGUAUACACACAGGUAAUAAUUAUAGGUUUUUUCUUGUUUUUAUUUACAUAGUUUACUUAUUUAGUUUUGAACCCCUCUGUUUAUCCUUGAUGUUUUUCACAUAUUUGUGUCAUUUUAAAUGCUGCCUUAGUUUGGCACUAACGCUAAGCUCAGCAUUUAGCAUAAUAUUUAUUUAGAAUGAAGUGUAGGUUUUCUUGCACAAGGCAUCGAGGGAUUGAGAAGUAUUUAUAGAGCUGAGAUAUAGAGAUGUUUAGAUUUUAUUUAUGUAAAGAUUUUGAAUGUAAUUUUAAAGCUUUCUGUAAAUUGUGCUUAACAUUUAAUCAUUGACUACGUUUACAUGGACAGCAGUAAUCUAAUUAUUGACCUUACCCUGAGUAAGAUAAUAAUGUGAUUAAGGUGUUUACAUGAGUCGCUUUUAGAAUACUCCUGUCAUGUUCCCGUUUUACAUGUUUUAGAAUAUAAUUAGAUUAACAGCCCGCGUCAUUACGUCACCGCGCUACGCCAUCCGACGUCCCUAGAAUUUCACGUAUCAACAUACAGUUCAUCUUCGUUAUGGGACCGUAUACAGUUUUGGGUGUUUUUAUUAAUUUUUUUUACGAAUGCUUUAAGUGCAGUUAAUUAUUUGUCAUGCGGUACGUGCUAUUAGACAACUGCUUGAAGCCGUGGGUGAGUCCCAAAUCGCGUUCAUAAUGUGAUUAAGGUGUUUACAUGUCUGUAAUACACGUCCAUAAUGCGACUAAAACAGGAAUACUCCACCUGUCUUAAUUCGAUUAUUGCUUAAUUCGAGUAUGACCUUAAUUAGAUUAAGGUAAUUAAUGUAUGGUCUUAAUCGGGUUAAGAGUGGAUUAUUGUUGUCCAUGUAAACG